Long non-coding RNA from Etheostoma cragini (Arkansas darter), 212 nucleotides. RefSeq lists it as uncharacterized. The record is from RefSeq and is a predicted model, not a curated record. Lineage: Eukaryota; Metazoa; Chordata; Actinopteri; Perciformes; Percidae. The transcript is spliced from 3 exons.
AAGUUGGAGACGGACGCCGGCAGCGCACAGCCUCGGUGACCAGAGCAGACGUAGUAACUAUGUCUGAUCAUUCUAAUGAAAUAAGCUGGUUUGACCACUAGACCAGAACACAGGACCUUCUUCCUGUAUUUACUUUCUUGCUACUGCCCCCAGACAUAUCCGACCAAUAAAAGGACUGGACGUUCCUGCCUGAUUUGGAUUUUUACAGGUUG